RNAcentral lists this small RNA (508 nucleotides) under Pan troglodytes (chimpanzee). RNAcentral's name for it is "processed transcript". Lineage: Eukaryota; Metazoa; Chordata; Mammalia; Primates; Hominidae. The record is from RNAcentral.
GCGAAGACCUGGAGAAGCAGAUUGGCAGCCUGGAGUCGAAGCUGGAGCAUCUCACCGCCAGCUUCAACUCCCUGCCGCUGCUCAUCGCCGACACCCUGCGCCAGCAGCAGCAGCAGCUCCUGUCUGCCAUCAUCGAGGCCCGGGGUGUCAGCGUGGCAGUGGGCACCACCCACACCCCAAUCUCCGAUAGCCCCAUUGGGGUGCCUCUACUUGGGAGCGGGAAGAGGAGAUGACAGGAAGCGACGCCUCUGGCAGGGCCCUUGCUGCAGAGUUGGUGGAGAACAGAAAUCCACGCUCAAUCUCAGGUGCCAAGUGCCCUGUGACAGUUGUUUACACACCUGAAAAAUGUAUCCUGGAAGCUGUAAUCUUGGGCCUGGGCUAUGUGUUGAAACAAGCAAAAGAGACAUCGUGACCAACCAAGCUGGUGGAGGAAAAGCACAAAAUUCAACUCCAACCUGCAGUUAGGAUCCCAAAGAGAUGUUGACAUUUAUAGCCAAAAAGAAAAAGU